GUCAGCACCCCGCACUAAAGUGACGGGGCUUCAUGCCUCUAACUUUAGUUAGUUGACCAGCCUAAGUCUUAACUGACUCCGUUAUCGGUAAGCGUUAAAGUUCUUACCUUGGGAUGCGUAGCUAGUCCCAAGCUCUAAAACUCGAAAGUUAAACAGUUUUACGAGGGGUAAGACAGUGCUUUCAAGAUAGUACCGACCGAUAACAUUGGCGAAGCUAACAUUAC
Planktothrix serta PCC 8927 is the source of this 224-nucleotide non-coding RNA. NCBI's taxonomy places the organism in Bacteria, Bacillati, Cyanobacteriota, Cyanophyceae, Oscillatoriales, Microcoleaceae. The record is from Rfam.